GACAUUUAAGUCAGGGGUGAAAUCCCGGGGCUCAACCCCGGAACUGCCUUUGAUACUGGGUGUCUAGAGUCCGGAAGAGGUGAGUGGAAUUGCGAGUGUAGAGGUGAAAUUCGUAGAUAUUCGCAGGAACACCAGUGGCGAAGGCGGCUCACUGGUCCGGUACUGACGCUGAGGUGCGAAAGCGUGGGGAGCAAACA
Molecule: ribosomal RNA, 197 nt
Filed under: uncultured bacterium
Lineage: Bacteria
Description: partial 16S ribosomal RNA
Rfam family: Bacterial small subunit ribosomal RNA
Source: RNAcentral